UGUGAUGCUGACUUUAACCAGCAGGAUGCAGAGGUUGUGUGUCGGGAGCUGGGCUGUGGUUCUCCUGUGGAGGUUCUGGGAGCAGCUGCUUUUGGUAGAGUGGAGGGUCAGGUGUGGUCAGAGGAGCUUCAGUGUAGAGGAAACGAAUCACAGAUUCACUUCUGUCCAAAAUCAUCUUCACUCAAACACAACUGCUCCCAUGAUAAUGAUGUGGGACUGGUGUGUUCUGGAGUCCGGGUGGUUGGUGGUUCUCACUGUUCUGGGAGAGUGGAGGUUCUUCAUGGAGAGGUUCUUCUCUGGCGUCUCAUGAGGGUGUAGUGAGAUUGACUGGAGGGAUGGAGUGUGAGGGGGAGGUAGAGGUUUUCUUCAGGCAGGACUGGAGGAGAGUUCUGCUGGACUCCUGGAGUGAGUCUGAGGCCUCUGUGGUCUGCAGACAGCUGGGCUGUGGUUCUGUACUCAACACCUCCAGCUCCUCUUCAUCCAGUCCUGAACACAGCUACAUGUGUGUGACGGGUUUCAACUGCUCUGGGAGUGAAGCUCAUCUGAGGAACUGCAGCAGCUCACAAGCAGUUAACUGCAGCUCCACGGAACAGCUCUACAUCACCUGCUCUGGCUACAGCUUCAUCAGGCUGGUUGGUUCUGGGGGAGACUGUGCUGGAAGGCUGGAGGUUUUCCACAGUGGAUCAUGGGGGACAGUGAGUGAUGAAUUGUGGGAUAUUGAGGAUGCGCAGGUGGUCUGCAGACAGCUGCAGUGUGGAGUCGCCCUCAGUGCUCCAGUACCGGUACCAGCCCGGUUUGGAUCUGGAACUGGACCCAUAUGGCUGAAUGAGGUGGAGUGUGAGGGGAACGAGGCGUCUCUGUGGAACUGCAGAUAUCAGCUGUGUGGAGAGGAUGAAUGAAUUCAUUUAUGAAUUCAUGAAUUCAAUUUAUCUUUGACUACUCCAGUAUAUCCAUGUCUGGCACAAGUUAAAAACAAUGUCUUGCCUACUGUACAGUUUGUAAUAGUGAUUUUAGGAUUGCCCAGGGGUAACUACAGGAUUGUAAAAGGCAUGUUGAGGUGAGUUAAUAUCCUUUGGUGUGUGGGAGUUUUUUUUUUUUUUUUUAAAGGGACACACUUUGAUUUGUCAACCAGUUCUGAUUGCAGAGGGCGACAGUACCAAUACAUUGAAAACCCCUUAGUAUUUUAAAAGUUUGAGUCUUUGAGUAACAGUGUCUUGCUGCCAUCAUCCUGAUGCUGCUGUGCUGCAAUGCAUUUUUUAAUUUUUACAGAAAACUAUGGCGAGGUCUAUGAUGAUAUCAUACCUGCUGAAGAGAGCCCACACAUUACAACAGACAGUGUGAGGUUGGUGGAUGGUGGGAACCGCUGUGCUGGGAGAGUGGAAGUUCUUCAUAGAGGACAUUGGGGAACAGUGUGUGAUGAUUACUGGGAUAUGAGAGAUGCUGCAGUGGUGUGUAGAGAGCUGGGCUGUGGGGAAGCCAUAGAUGCACCACGGAGAGCUCGCUUUGGAUCAGGAUCAGGACCGAUCUGGGUGGAAUAUGCUAACUGUGCUGGAUCAGAGUCUUCACUGAAGAACUGUAGGUCGUAUGAUUGGGGUAGACAGAGAUGUAAUCAUGAUGAAGACGCUGGUGCUGUUUGUGCAGAAGUCAGAUUGGUGGGCAGAUCUCGCUGCUCAGGGAGAGUGGAGGUUCUUCAUGGAGAGAGCUGGGUCACAGUGUGUGAUGCUGACUUUAACCAGCAGGAUGCAGAGGUUGUGUGUCGAGAGCUGGGCUGUGGUUCUCCUGUGGAGGUUCUGGGAGCAGCUGCUUUUGGUAGAGUGGAGGGUCAGGUGUGGUCAGAGGAGCUUCAGUGUAGAGGCAGCGAAUCACAGAUUCACUUCUGUCCAAAAUCAUCUUCACUCAAACACAACUGCUCCCAUGAUGAUGAUGUGGGACUGGUGUGUUCUGAAAGUGUGAGGUUGGUGGAUGGUGGGAGUCGCUGUGCUGGGAGAGUGGAGGUUCUUCAUAAAGGACAGUGGGGAACAGUGUGUGAUGAUAACUGGGAUAUGAUAGAUGCUGCAGUGGUGUGUAGAGAGCUGGGCUGUGGAGAGGCUGUAGAUGCACUUAGUGGUGCUUACUUUGGAUCAGGAUCAGGACCAAUCUGGAUGGAUAAUGUGGAGUGUAGAGAAUCAGAAUCCAUACUAAAGAACUGUAAAUCAGCAGGAUGGGGUAAACAUAACUGUAAUCAUCCUAAAGAUGCUGGAGUCAUCUGUUCAAGAGUCAGGCUGGUUGGAGGUUCUCAUUGCUCUGAGAGAGUGGAGGUUCUUCAUGGAGAGAGCUGGGUCACAGUGUGUGAUUCUGACUUUAACCAGCAGGAUGCAGAGGUUGUGUGUCGAGAGCUGGGCUGUGGUUCUCCUGUGGAGAUUCUGGGAGCAGCUGCUUUUGGUAGAGUGGAGGGUCAGGUGUGGUCAGAGGAGCUUCAGUGUAGAGGCAGCGAAUCACAGAUUCACUUCUGUCCAAAAUCAUCUUCACUCAAACACAACUGCUCCCAUGAUAAUGAUGUGGGACUGGCAUGUUCUGGUGACAAGCGAAGACUUGUUGGUGGUCCUCACGCAUGCUCUGGGAGAGUAGAGAAGCUUCAUCGGAAUUCUUGGCUUCCAGUGUGUGAUGCUGACUUUAACCAGCAGGAUGCAGAGGUUGUGUGUCGAGAGCUGGGCUGUGGUUCUCCUGUGGAGGUUCUGGGAGCAGCUGCUUUUGGUAGAGCAGAGGGUCAGAUGUGGUCAGAGGAGCUUCAGUGUAGAGGAAACGAAUCUCAUAUGUACCUCUGCCAGACAUCUCCUUCCUUGAAACCCAACUGCUCUCACAACAAGGAUGUGGGACUAAGAUGCUCUGGUCACACUCAGGCUCGGCUGAUGAACGGCUCAGAUUCCUGUUCUGGUCGAGUGGAGCUCCAGUACCUCAGUUCUUCUCUGGCGUCUCAUGAGGGAGGAGUGCGGUUGUCUGGAGGGAUGGAGUGUGAGGGGGAGGUAGAGGUUUUCUUCAGGCAGGACUGGAGGAGAGUUCUGCUGGACUCCUGGAGUGAGUCUGAGGCCUCUGUGGUCUGCAGACAGCUGGGCUGUGGUUCUGUACUCAACAUCUCCAGCUCCUCUUCAUCCAGUCCUGAACACAGCUACAUGUGUGUGACGGGUUUCAACUGCUCUGGGAGUGAAGCUCAUCUGAGGAACUGCAGCAGCUCACAAGCAGUUAACUGCAGCUCCACAGUACAGCUCUACAUCACCUGCUCUGGUACAGCUAACACAGUCCACAGCUUCAUCAGGCUGGUUGGUUCUGGGGGAGACUGUGCAGGAAGGCCGGAGGUUUUCCACAGUGGAUCAUGGGGGACAGUGAGUGAUGAAUUGUGGGAUAUUGAGGAUGCGCAGGUGGUCUGCAGACAGCUGCAGUGUGGAGUCGCCCUCAGUGCUCCAGUACCGGUACCAGCCCGGUUUGGAUCUGGAACUGGACCCAUUUGGCUGAAUGAGGUGGAGUGUGAGGGGAACGAGGCGUCUCUGUGGAACUGCAGAUAUCAGCUGUGUGGAGAGGAUGAAUGUGGACACAAGGAUGAUGUAGGAGUCGUGUGCUCAGAGUAUAAAGAGAUCAGACUGACUGAGGGCUGUGAGGGGAAUCUGGAGGUGUACUAUAAUGGAACCUGGGGGAAUGUGUGUGUAAAUGGGAUGACUGAUGAAACGGCAAAAUUGAUCUGUCGAGAGCUGAACUGUGGAAGAACUGGCAGUGAGUCUUGGUCUAAAGCAAGAGUGGAAUCAGCUCCUAACUGGCUGGAUAAUGUACAAUGUAGGAAACAUAACUCCACUCGGUGGCACUGUCCAUCUUCUUCCUGGGGGGAGAACAGGUGUGAUAAUCGCAAUGAGGUUGCUUGCAUUACCUACUCAGAGAAUGGAAAUACACUAGAUUUGAUAAAUUGGCUGUGUGAUUCAUCUCCUCAUGAGAGACCGUGCUCAAAGCACAUUCCUCUGAGGCUGAGGGGAGGAGUAGGAAGCUGUUCUGGAUGGCUGCAGGUGUAUCAUAAUAAAACAUGGGGGUCUGUAUGUGGUGACCUCUGGGACAUCAGGGAUGCUCAGGUGAUCUGCAGGCAGCUGGGUUGUGGGCCGGCGCUGAGUGCUAAUAGAAGAGCUGCUGAUGGUUCUGGUGGAGGAACUAUCUGGAUGAACAGAGUGAAGUGUAGAGGGAAUGAGAUUCACCUGUGGGACUGUCCUCAUUCCCUGAAGAACCACACUGGCUGCUCCCACAGUGCUGGAGUCACUUGUGGAGGCUUCCUGUAUCAUACUUUGCCUUUAAAUAAUAAAAGAGGACAGAUGGGACAUUUUGUCUUGCAAGAUUCUCAACCACAGACAAGAAGAAUCAUACUUCCACAAACUCCUCCACCAGCUGUUCCCUCCAUCUAUCCAGUGUCUCUCCUGGUUCUGGGAUAUGUGCUCUUCCUGGCCUUAGUGCUUCUGGUUGUGCUGUUUUAUCAGAACAGAGUGCUCAGGAGAGUGAUCUCUAAGAGGAGGAAGACUUCAGCUGAGCCUGUCUAUGAGGAGAUUGACACCAGGCUCAUCCCUAAAAGAAUUACUGUCUCAACUGAAAGGUGGUGAGCUUCCUGAGGGCUUUGAGGAUAGUUAUCCUGGUGCGUGUCUUUCGUCUGGCCUCUCAGAAGAAAGAUCUGGAGAAGGUCACUACAAGAAAGGUAUCUCUGAGAACAAAAGGCGGUAACAAAAAGGAUGGAUUUGAUUUGGAUCUCACAGCAGGCACUCUACAGAAAUCCCAUAAAAGAAGCUGCCAUAUUUCUGGACACAAAGCAUCCCGAUCAUUACAGAGUUUACAAUCUCUGCAGUCAAAAAGGCUACGAUCCACUGUUCUUCCAUUACAGAGUGCAACGAGUGAUGAUUGACGACCAUAACGUACCGUCAUUAGACCAACCCACUCGUUAGGACUCCCCCUAUCACUAGUAAUGCCCCAACACACCAGGAGGAUGAAGACUAGCACACUCUUUCUCCGAUACAUGUGAAGUCAGCCACCGCUUCUUUUCGAGCUGCUGCUGAUGCAGCAUUGCCAAGCAGCCAGCACAUUUGGAGGAAAGCGCAGCGGCAGGUGAACCCGAGGAACCUGAGGAAAGUGGUGGGAAAUCUCGAGCCAGGUCAGACCUUGGGUUGGGUUUGGGCAGAGAACCUAAGCUCUUAUUCACAUAUUGAACUUUGUGUUAUUGUGUUCUCAGUGACAUGUUGAACUACACUGCCAGUUUGAGGGAAUGUCAUUGCCAUCCACUGCAAAGGAGGCAAAGGUGUGGGAAAGGGCAAUGGCAGUGAUCUGAAGGUGCGGAUCAUAGUGAAAAGAGAGCAGGUGUUCCAGUGUGUCUGUGCCACGCAGACGAACUGUAGGCUGUUCCCAGAUACUGAAAACAAUGCCGUGGUGAUCAGCUUUCAGGAAGGGCCAGUGGUUUGUGGUGAUGUUAAGGUCAUGUUUGAAUCCAGGGCUGGUCUUCCAAAGGGGUAUGAGGACUAUCCUUUCUAUUUCUGGUUCAACACUUCAUUUGUAGAGAACAACAGGCUCUAUCUGUCAAGGGAGGAACUGGACAACCCACGUAAGUCCAAAACCUGGGACAUCUACAAGGAGGACUUUGGUGUGACCGUGUCUUUCAGUGACCCUGCACUUAUGUAGCAGACGACACUUGCUUGUGUAUCUCAACUAAAACCCUUAAGCCCUGCACAAGGUCUAAAUCUUUGCUCUAAUGUAGGUUUUCACACACUUAUAAAAGGUGAGUGAUGUUUAGGGAUUGGAUUCGGGCAUAUUGUGCCCCUAAAGCUAUAGCUAUAUAACCUCAACUUUAUGUCCAUCCCCCAUCUUCACUGUAAGAGCUUUUUACUGAGCCGUGCAUACAUCACAAUAUUAUGCAUUUGUUUGUCAAAUGUUUUUUUGUCUUUAAAUGAAGACAAAUGUUUGUGUCAGUUUAGCAUAUUAUGCUUCCAAAAUGUAAAUCUUACUCUUUAAGCUUGAGUGUACAUCAAAUAAAGCAAUCGAGGCUGCCACUGUGAAAUGGUCAAUGGUUAUGUGUGCAGAAACAUUUUUUUGUAGUACACAUGUAUUGAAAUAAAUACUAAUGUCUCUGUAA
Astyanax mexicanus (Mexican tetra) is the source of this 6121-nucleotide RNA transcript. It is a transcript of the gene named scavenger receptor cysteine-rich type 1 protein M130, with no coding region annotated. NCBI's taxonomy places the organism in Eukaryota, Metazoa, Chordata, Actinopteri, Characiformes, Acestrorhamphidae. The record is from RefSeq and is a predicted model, not a curated record. The transcript is spliced from 29 exons.